AAGUCAAACAAACAAACAAAACCCACAAAGCGGAAAACAUGCUACAAAGGGAGAUAACACUGCCUUCUGGCAGGUGUUAUCUGUUUCACAUUCAGGAAACAGCCUCCAGCUGUAAAACCAGCACGGCUGUGAAACUGACGUCAUUGUCAGCCAGAUCCCUGAGGACCACAGGAACACAUCCCGUGUUUCUCGGGUGCCUCGUUUUCAGAGUUUUCAAACAAGUCGUUUCUACACAAGUUAUGGGAUCUUACCUCAUGAUCUUUGCCGAUUGUUUCUUUGAAAGAGGAAAACACGAUAUGAAUGAGACUAACACCCUGCACAGGAUUCUGAUUGUGACCAAGGUUGCCUACAGGGCUGCAAGUCCCUCUGACUGCUUUCUGUGUUGGUGGUGCAGCCUGUAUUGUAUGGAGCACAGAGAAAACAGACCCAAGAGCAGAGAUGGGAUUGCCGUGGGUGGGCGGACUGACCUCUCCUGUCAAAACAGCUUACUUGAGCCUGGGUGAGGGAUGAACUGGAGGUGGGACGACGCUCAGGCAUUCCUGCAAAGGACUAUCUACAAGAGACAGCUCUGCCUGGGAACCUUGUUUUUUCCUCCUGCAGUCUUGUCUUCUAUCUAAGGAUUCGGGGAAGUGACCUUCUGCAGGAAGAGCUUCAAAACAGUGCAACUCAGCUCGCUGUGAUUUUGUAUCUGAAAUGGAUUACGGAAGUCAAGCUCCGGAAGGGAGGAAGUUGAAUGGCAUACCGUUUUGCUUUCUUGAUCUACGUGUGAGCUCCUGGCUGUUAAGCCUGAGGCGCCCCUUGGAGGAGACGUGGAACCUGCCAUGCUGCGCCUGGAGGGAAAGUCUCUCUGAGAAGCUGUGCACCCCCCAGGGGACCUCUUCCGGAAGGACACGGAGCUGUAGGUAACAGCGCCUCAGGGUGGCCUCAUAGAGUCCUUUGUAGCACAUGGGGGAAACACAAAAACGUCCAAGGAAAUCGAUAACCUAUUUUAGUUUUGGAAAUACACAGCCUUUCAAAAGCACUGUUGACGACAACGGC
Lynx canadensis (Canada lynx) is the source of this 1038-nucleotide RNA transcript. RefSeq lists it as uncharacterized. The transcript has 4 exons. The record is from RefSeq and is a predicted model, not a curated record. Lineage: Eukaryota; Metazoa; Chordata; Mammalia; Carnivora; Felidae.